CAAGGAUGUCAAAGGAUUGGAAGCCAGCUGUCUCGUUGAGGGGUAUACAUACCCUUCUUUCAUAUCAAGAGAGGAUCCGAAAAUGACCAGAUUUGCUAUCGAACAUAAUAUCCCAGAUAUAGAUGUCUCUGGGAGGCAUUUCCUAUUUGACAAGAAAUGGAAAAAUGAUAGGACGGAUUCCAAGUUGGAUUUCAGAGAGAGGAGGUUACCCAAACCAAAUUCUUUCAUACCACCACUUCCCCGGGAUUACCAGGUUCACAGAUCCAACCACAUAAACAGACUUGUGCUACACAAAGAAC
Molecule: long non-coding RNA, 299 nt
Organism: Megalops cyprinoides (Indo-Pacific tarpon)
Lineage: Eukaryota; Metazoa; Chordata; Actinopteri; Elopiformes; Megalopidae
Exons: 3
Source: RefSeq, a predicted model, not a curated record